GGGGCUGUAGUGUAGCCUGGAGAAGAUAGUUAUCUUCGAGCAACUAUCACUAACGGUUUGGGACCGUUGAACCCCGGUUCGAAUCCGGGCAGCCCCA
This 97-nucleotide transfer RNA is filed under the name Candidatus Woesearchaeota archaeon. Its description in RNAcentral is "tRNA-Pro". It matches the Rfam family "tRNA". Rfam says of the family: Transfer RNA (tRNA) molecules are approximately 80 nucleotides in length. Their secondary structure includes four short double-helical elements and three loops (D, anti-codon, and T loops). Lineage: Archaea; Nanobdellati; Candidatus Woesearchaeota. The record is from RNAcentral.